GUAGGUGGCAAGCGUUGUCCGGGAAUUAUUGGGGCGUAAAGCGCGCGCAGGCGGUUCUUUAAGUCUGAUGUGAAAGCCCACGGGCUCAACCGUGGAGGGUCAUUGGAAACUGGAGAACUUGAGUACAGAAGAGGAAAGCGGAAUUCCACGUGUAGCGGUGAAAUGCGUAGAGAUGUGGAGGAACACCAGUGGCGAAGGCGGCUUUCUGGUCUGUAACUGACGCUGAGGCGCGAAAGCGUGGGGAGCAAACAGGAUUAGAUACCCUGGUAGUCCACGCCGUAAACGAUGAGUGCUAAGUGUUAGAGGGUUUCCGCCCCUUAGUGCUGCAGCUAACGCAUUAAGCACUCCGCCUGGGGAGUACGGCCGCAAAGGCUG
This 375-nucleotide ribosomal RNA is filed under the name uncultured organism. RNAcentral describes it as "partial 16S ribosomal RNA". It matches the Rfam family "Bacterial small subunit ribosomal RNA", at positions 527 to 896 of the family's 1533-position model. The record is from RNAcentral.